This 867-nucleotide long non-coding RNA is filed under the name Coffea arabica (coffee). Its description in RNAcentral is "long non-coding RNA (CARA_LNC005829)". The record is from RNAcentral. Lineage: Eukaryota; Viridiplantae; Streptophyta; Magnoliopsida; Gentianales; Rubiaceae.
ACACAUAUAAAAGCAUCAUUUAAAUCCUUAUAUUAUAUUUUCUUAAAUACACUUAAGUCCCUAAACUACAAGGGUACACUUAGGCUCCACUAAUAAUGCAUUACAUUCGAAAAUAAUAGUUGAUACUGCAAAUUACAUACAUAACUAGCAAAAACACUCAUCCAUUGCAGUAUUGCAGUAUCAACACUAGAACCAGCUUAUAUUACAUAGUUCACUACACAGCCUAUUCCGAAAACCUACAACUAAGGAAACUUGGAUAACCAUCCCCCGAAUGACCUUUGAUCCCAGCAUUAGGCAAAAAUAAUAAUUUCCCACAUCAUAGGCCAGUUUCUUCUCCAACUUCAUUUUCACCUUUUGCCCCAGAUUUGAAGAAAAAGAGCCACAGGAGAAUGACACCCCAAUGAAGCAUCAGGUACAUCUUUAACCUCCUCGCAUUUCCUUGCUAUACCUUGGCCAUCUCCUUCCACAUCUCGACCUCAGCUGCAAUCUUGUUCUUGGACCGUAAUAGUCUUGGUAUUAUUUCCUUAGAUCUUUGACACAUUUCUGGAUCAACCUAGUCCCAAUAUUUAUAGCCUCCCAAUUCCUAUUUACAUACCACAAUAUCAUCGAACAAAUCACAAAAACACCUAAAUACCAACAUUAAGCCUAAUUAUAAAAACUUCUUGUUCAUUACCUUAUACUGAGGACAUCGAACAAAUCUUCUUCCUGGGUUUGUGUGUGUCCAUGAUGUCAUCAGUAGUGUUUGUUUUCCGCAAUUACAAGUUUCCUUUACCAUCCCUCCUAUUUUGCUGUAGCCUGCUUCUUUUUCUUCUGUCUUCGUUCUUCCCCAACCCGUUUGAGGAGUCCCACUUUGUUCUCAUUUUGAUU